RNAcentral lists this long non-coding RNA (1125 nucleotides) under Pongo abelii (Sumatran orangutan). RNAcentral describes it as "lncRNA (ENSPPYG00000035613.1)". Lineage: Eukaryota; Metazoa; Chordata; Mammalia; Primates; Hominidae. The record is from RNAcentral.
CGGAAUAUAUAAAUAGCUCCUACAAAUCAAUACAAAUGAGGCUGAGGCGGAUGGAUCCCUGAGGUCGGGAGUUCAAGACCAGCCUGGCCAACAUGGUGAAACCUUGUAUUUACUAAAAAUACAAAAAUUAGCUGGGGGUGGUGGCAGGCACCUGUAAUCCCAGCUACUUGGGUGGCUGAGGCAGGAGAAUUGCUUGAACCCAGGAGGUGGAGGUUACAGUGAGCUGAGACUACACCAUUGCACUCCAGCCUGGGCAACAAGGGCGAAACACCUCUCUCAAAAAAUUAAAAAAAAAAAAGAGUCAGAGUCUUGCUCUGUCUUCCAGACUGGAGUGUGCUUGUACAAUCACAGCUCCCUGCAGCCUCAGUCUCCUGGGCUCAGAUCCUCCCACCUCAGCCUCCCUAGUAGCUGGGGCUACUGGUGUGCGCCACCAUGCCCAGCUAAUUUUUAAAAUUUUUUAGCAGAGAUGGAGGUCUCGCUAUGUUGCCUAGGCUAGUCUCAAGCUCCUGGGCUCAAGCCAUCUUCUCGCCUCAGCCUCUGAAAGCGUGGAGAUUACAGGCCUGAGCUACUGUGCCCAGCCUCCCUGUUACUUCUUGGAUGAAGUCCUGCCCUGUUAGUGACACUUUCCAGGCUAUGGAUGGCAGUGCCUGUCUACCCCUCCAGUCCUUCUUCCUAUCAUACCUGCCACACGGCUGCUCACAGAGAGUCCCCACCCCUGCCCCACUGCCAGGCCUCUAUCUAGCCUCUUCCUCAUUCAAGCCCAGCUGAAGGGUCAGGCUCCCUCCUCCAGGAAGGCUUCCUUGAGCUGCAAGAGAGCGCUGCCCAUCACCCUGAACUGACUCACAAUGGCUCUCUGCCACCCCAGAGCAAACCCAGGGAGGGGCCCCUGCAACCCUGCCCCACAGUAUGAGAGUCUGGACAGGGCCAGCAGCCUGCAUCCCACUGGCCUGGGCCGCUGGGGCCUUUGCAGAGAUGUCCUCAGAGAGCGUCCAGGCCUCGGGCCAUUCUGUCUUGGAGUUCCCAAGGCCCUGGAUGGAAAGAGACAAGGGAGAGUGGUCAGCCCCAGGCAGAGACCCUGCUCCAAAAUCACCUCCCCUCACCCAUGGUCCAGACCCGGGCUCCUGC